This 258-nucleotide long non-coding RNA is filed under the name Lathyrus oleraceus (garden pea). RNAcentral describes it as "Pisum sativum (pea) long non-coding RNA (PSAT_LNC031519)". Lineage: Eukaryota; Viridiplantae; Streptophyta; Magnoliopsida; Fabales; Fabaceae. The record is from RNAcentral.
UGAUAUUCAUCGAUUGAUUUAAACAUACAAUGCAGAGAAUUAUGAUUUAACAAAGAUACCACCCAACCAUGUGUGUGCUGUGUGAGUGAAUACAGGAAAGCAAAUAAAGCUUGAAGACCAAUCACUGAAUGAAAACAACCAUUGCACAUCAAAAGUGCACCAUACGUUCAAGAGUCAUACAUCAAGUCUGAUACAAGUCAAAUACAAUCCUCCAGAAACAGAAAAAAAAUACAAACAAGUGAAUUCCGUCAACAGGCC